This is a long non-coding RNA of Cynoglossus semilaevis (tongue sole), 1443 nucleotides long. RefSeq lists it as uncharacterized. The transcript has 3 exons. Lineage: Eukaryota; Metazoa; Chordata; Actinopteri; Pleuronectiformes; Cynoglossidae. The record is from RefSeq and is a predicted model, not a curated record.
AAUAGAUAUCGAAGGACAAGAGGAGAAAAUAUUAAAUACAUCUAAUAGACAACUCUGCCUUAAUAUGUGGUAUUUACCAAUGAGAUUAAAACAUAGAAGUUAUUUGGGGUGCACAGUAGAUGGUGCUAAAAAAACCUGCCCCUAGUCUUCUGGGCCAAGACAGUGCCCUUUUGAAAUUUUGUUUUUCUUUAUUAUUAUUUUCUUCAUUGUAUUUAUUUAUUUAUUUAUUACAAUAAAGCAAUUCUAUUAAAAAAUGUAGUUAUGAAUGUCCCAAAAUACACCCCUCCUAAACCCCUUCCAUCCCCCGGAAAAUACGAAAAUGUAAUUUUAGAAAUGUCAAUUUAAUUUUGCGUCUUGAAGCAAUAUGAGACGCGAGUUGUUCCGUAUUUCUAAAAAUAUCCAAUACACACGUAUGUCACACACAUAUCAAAACUAAAUGUAAUACGACGGGGUGUUUCCAAGGAUCCGACCAAACAAAUUCAGCGUUUAAACUGAGCCACUGAGGACGACUCCGGUCUCUGUAGUAAUAUGCCAGGCCUGUACGUAGCGCUGUGCCAACCAGGCUCUAACAUAAUCACCGGCCCGAUAGAAAACACACCGGAAGAGAGGCAAAUUUGUCUUGGCUCCGCAGAGGAAACACAUGGCUUGUGACGUCAGACGCCGAAAAAGUUCGCCGCUGGCCUUUAAAAGCCACAGGGAUACGAAGUUGUUCCUAAUUUACUGCUCGACCGGUGCGGGAUGAACGGUACACAUAUAAAAUAUGGAAUUUCUGCAAAUGGACCUCGGGUUGAAGUAAUCCAGCGUCAACAUUUACUCCUGACAUUGAAAGACAAGAUUUUCCAGUCAACAUAAAGCUCUUCAACACGGUAGGGAGCGUCAGAUUUUAUUCUUUGUGGCUGCCGUGCCGCUGCAAUCCGCUGCGCGGCUGCCGUGCCGCUGCAAUUCGCUGCGCGGCUGCCAUGCCGCCUCUAUCCCCUUUACGGCUUCUGCACCGCUUUUACUCCUUUCUCGGCUGCCGCGCCGCUUCUAUCCUCUUCCCGGCUGCCGCGUCGCCUCUACCCCUUUCUCGGCUGCCGUGCCGCCUUUACUCCUUUCUUGGCUGCCGCGCCGCUUCUAUCCAAUUCCCGGCUGCCGCGCCGCCUCUAACUUCUUCCCGGCUGCCACGCCGCCUCUAACCUCUUCCCCGCUGUGCUGUAGACUCUAAGGAACAUUUUUACUUUUAAAAUUUAGAGGUCAGUAGCAGUUUUUAUAAUUGAAACAUCGACAAUUUUCAAAACAUGAUGAUGACAUGAUGGAACCUUCAACCAAACAACCUCCGCUUGUUUUCAAUCUCAUCGAUGUAUCUUUGGUUGAUUACGAUCCAUGUUACUGUUUUCUGUUUUGGCUGUUGUUGAACUUGAGUUUUGCUUUAUUUUUAUAACCCUAGCAAUUUUCUGAUGUGAA